Non-coding RNA from Miniopterus natalensis, 339 nucleotides. The record is from RefSeq and is a predicted model, not a curated record. Lineage: Eukaryota; Metazoa; Chordata; Mammalia; Chiroptera; Miniopteridae.
UGUGCCUCGGAGAAUGGACUCUGCUGGAAUGCGGUGUUGGGUCUGAGGGAAAGUUGGAGAACUCAGGAGACGCUGCUGGCAUGGCCUAAGUCACUGGGACAAACACACCCAGAAUCCCAGAGGAACAUCAGUCACAUUGGUCCAUGUAGAGUCCCUGCCUUCUAGAUACUCAUGUGUGGUGACAAAGUGCUGAGCAACCUGCACGUCAAAGCCCUGCAGAACUUUCUGCAGAGGGACUUGCUGACUAUUGCGGGAGAAACACUGAAUUGGAACCACAUUGGUUAAAGCAUCUCAUCCUCUUUACCUUAACAGACAAAACUGAGGAUAAAUGAAAAUUCC